UACGUAGGGGGCAAGCGUUGUCCGGAAUCAUUGGGCGUAAAGAGCGUGUAGGCGGCCCGGUAAGUCCGUUGUGAAAGUCGAGGGCUCAACCCUCGAAUGCCGGCGGAUACUCCCGGGCUAGAAUCCGGAAGAGGCGAGUGGAAUUCCUGGUGUAGCGGUGAAAUGCGCAGAUAUCAGGAGGAACACCAAUGGCGAAGGCAGCUCGCUGGGACGGUAUUGACGCUGAGACGCGAAAGCGUGGGGAGCAAACAGG
Molecule: ribosomal RNA, 253 nt
Filed under: uncultured bacterium
Lineage: Bacteria
Description: partial 16S ribosomal RNA
Rfam family: Bacterial small subunit ribosomal RNA
Source: RNAcentral